CGUAGGGGGCAAGCGUUGUCCGGAAUCAUUGGGCGUAAAGCGCGUGUAGGCGGCCAGAUAAGUCCGCUGUGAAAUCUCGAGGCUCAACUUCGAGCUGUCGGUGGAAACUGUCUGGCUAGAGUCCGGAAGAGGAGAAUGGAAUUCCUGGUGUAGCGGUGAAAUGCGCAGAUAUCAGGAAGAACACCCGUGGCGAAGGCGGUUCUCUGGGACGGUACUGACGCUGAGACGCGAAAGCGUGGGGAGCGAACAGGAUUAGAUACCCUGGUAGUCCACGCCGUAAACGAUGGGAACUAGGUGUGGGGGGGUGUCGACUCCCUCCGUGCCGAAACUAACGCAUUAAGUUCCCCGCCUGGGGAGUACGGCCGCAAGGCUA
Molecule: ribosomal RNA, 373 nt
Filed under: uncultured organism
Description: bacterial SSU rRNA
Rfam family: Bacterial small subunit ribosomal RNA
Source: RNAcentral